Molecule: unclassified non-coding RNA, 5737 nt
Filed under: Polistes dominula (European paper wasp)
Lineage: Eukaryota; Metazoa; Arthropoda; Insecta; Hymenoptera; Vespidae
Description: insulin-like peptide receptor, transcript variant X1
Source: RNAcentral
CGACGGCAUCGACGGCAACGACGGCAACGACAACGACCUCCGAGUUAGAGCAACGUAGUACUGCGACAAGGAUGGAGACAGAUGAAUAAAUCGUUCGUUAAGAUCGAUAAUGAGGUCAAAAAAGUACUUCAUCUUCAAUAAGAAGCUACUUUAAAAGUGUAUUAAAAUAUAAUACGAGGGAAUAAUAUCAAAUAAAGAAAGUGUUGUGGUGUAUGUGUCCGGUGUCAAGAAGAAAGAAAGAGAAAAGGAGAGAGAGAGAGGGGUACUUGAAAUUUCGUAAAAAAGGGUUGGAUGUUGCUGACGAGAUUUCUGCGGUCCUAUCGGAGUAGAAUUGCACCGGUAGAAGUUGUAGAUAGACACCUUCCAGCGAGAGAACGAUUAGUCGUUCACGACGAUAGGAGGAGGAGGAAGAAGAAAAGAAGGAGAAGGAGGAGGAAAAGGAAGGAGGAGGAGCUGCAGCAGCAGCACCACGUUCGAGAGGAGAGGAAGAAGAGAGCGCAAAAGCGAAGUUGAAAGUGUGUGUUGGGAGGGGAGAAGCAAGAAAACUGUGUUCACGAGAGAUAUAGAGAGAAUCUUGGAGCCAGCAGAAGCAAAAUAAGCACCAACGGUAGCAAGCAGCCUUGGUGGUGGUGUCCAUGAGACAAGAAGAUGAGAAGAAGGAUGAAGCUGCUGCUCGUGCUACUCUGCGUUGUCCUGGCGCCUCUGGCGAUGUGCCAGCAACAAAAGAGAAUAACGUCCAAGUCGUCGCCGGUAGCUUUUAUAAAGUAUCCAGAAAAUACAGCUAUGGGCACCUACGAGGAUGAUUUCGUCGAAAGGAUAAACAAAUUCGAUGAAUUGUCGGAAGAUUUAUCCAACUUGGCUGUUUAUAGGAAUACCAGGGCCAUCGAUGACAAUAGGUCAGUAGACAGCAUCGAUGGUUCGAACAAAAGCUAUCAACAUUCCUCGCAUUAUCCGAGAUCAAGGACUAAAUCUAGCGAGGAGAUACGAGAGAAAACACGAAGAUCUAAGAAUGUAACAAUAGGAGAUGGUAUAUGUCAGAGCAUCGAUAUUAGGAACAACGUUCAUAAUUUUGCGAUACUACAAGGUUGUCGCGUGAUCGAGGGCUUCCUACAGAUUGUUCUGAUCGAGAAUCAUACAGGAUCAGAUUUUGAAAACGUUAGCUUUCCAGAUCUAAGAGAGAUUACUGGUUAUUUUCUGCUUUAUCGCGUUUACGGAUUGAAGAGCCUUGGAACUCUAUUUCCGAAUCUCGAGACCAUCAGAGGAGAUAUACUGCUUACGGAUUAUGCAUUUAUGGUGUACGAGAUGCAAAACCUGCAGGAGAUCGGCUUAACAAAACUGACGAAGAUUGCAAGAGGUGGGGUAAGAAUUGAAAAAAAUUCAGCCUUGUGUUAUACCAAUACAUUAAAUUGGAACGUUAUAGUCACGGCUGGAGAUAAUUUUAUCAAGGACAAUAACAAUGAAAGUUCAUGCCCUGGUUGCUCUUCUCAGUGUUCUGAUGGUCAUUGUUGGACCGCACAACAUUGUCAAGUAACUGAAAAACCAAAGUGUCAUGAUCAGUGUCUUGGAGAAUGCAAUGGCGAAACGGAUAGAGAUUGUUACGUUUGUAAACACUAUAGGCAUGAAGGAAAAUGCGUUGAGAGUUGUCCAAGUCAUUUAUAUGCCUAUAUAUCAAGAAGAUGUAUUACUGAAUUAGCAUGUAUAAGAAUGAAUAACUUGAGGAAAAUAUGGAGACUCGAAGAUGAACAAAAAUGGCGACCCUUUAACGGUUCUUGCAUCACUCAGUGUCCCGAGGGAUACGAGGAUCAUGUCGAUGAAAAUAACGUUACCACCUGUCAAGUUUGCAAGGCACGAUGUCGUAAAAUAGGUCAUAGUGCUAUAAUAAGGCACAUCUCGGAUGCUCAAAUAUUUCGAGGGACGACUGUAGUAGACGGGGCUUUGGAAUUCCAAAUAAGAAAUGGUAAUCCAAACAUCAUGCGAGAACUGACUGAAGCUUUUGGUUUGAUAGAAGAGAUCACAGAGUAUCUGAAAGUGACUCACUCCUUUCCAAUAACAUCAUUGGGCUUCUUCAAAAAACUCCGAGUUAUCAAAGGUAAAAGAUUGGACAUAAACAAUGCGAGUUUAGUCGUAUUGGACAAUCCAAAUCUUUCGAAUCUCUUUCCGUCGACGCAGAAGAUCGAUAUUGAAAAUGGAAGAUUGUUCUUUCAUUACAAUCCUAGACUUUGUAUGUACAAGAUCAUAGAAUUCAGUAAAAUGGUAAAGAUAACAGACUUUAGCGAUCUCGAGGUGCAACCAGAUUCUAAUGGAGAAAAGGUAGCUUGUAGUGUAGUCAACAUAAAUAUCACGGUUAAAGAAAAAGGCCCGAAUUAUAUCGAUUUGAUUUGGGAUAGUUAUGAGCCACCUAUAGGACAACAAUUGUUAAGUUAUAUUUUGAGUUACAUGGAAACCGAAAAUGAAAACAUCACUUACGAAGGGAAUUCUUGUAGUAAUAAUACUUGGCAAAUGCUUGAUGUAGACAUACCCAAUGGAAAUUCUUUAUUUCAGAAGACAGUAACCAAACAUAUUUCGGGUUUGAAGCCGUACACGAAAUAUGCCGUUUACGUAAAGACUUUUUCUAUGAGAAACGAAAGUUUUUUACUUUCGUCUAGUAGUCCCGUAGGUCAGUCGAAGAUAAUAUUUUUCAGAACGAGCAGUGACAUACCUUCUAUGCCUACCGACGUUGUUUCUGUUGCAUUGAGCGAUACCGAGAUUAUGGUCAAAUGGAAUCCACCGGAGUAUCCAAACGGUCCUAUCGGUUACUACAUGAUAUCCGCUUCAUUAAAACAAGACGACGCAAAAUUUCUUUCAUCCAGAGAUUACUGCAAAUACGGCUUGAUAAAUGAACCUGAAGUAGAAGAAAUACAAGAAGUUACUAAAAUACCAUUACAACCAAUCGCUCCUCCUACCUCUUGCUGUUUCAAAGAUGAAUUUACUACAUUGUCAACUUCAAAAAAGUUCCAGAUGCUAUUGUGUAAUAAAAAUUUCGGGAUAAGUUCUUUAAAUGCUGGCUGGAAAGAUUCUUGCGUUUUCAAUCGAUACAAUUCAGUGUACGAUUUCAAAUACAAAUCGGAAAAUAAAGUGAAUAUUAUCAACAAUGAAUUAAUUUAUAACGUUAGCGCUGGAAAUAAUUCAUUUCAUUUGAAAUAUCUAAAACACUUUUCUUUAUAUACUAUAUCUGUUGCUGCUUGCGGAGUUAAACUUCGAGACGAUGAGCAUAUGUGUUCGUCUGUGGAAUACACGAACAUUCGAACGAAAAAACGGGAGAUGGCCGAUAAUGUUAGCAAUGUUAAAACUCACAUGAUCAACAGUUCAAUAGUCGUGGUUUCUUGGGAUACCGUUAGAAAUCCCAAUGCACUCACUGUAAGUUAUACGAUAGAAUAUACGAAUUUGAAUGUCAAAGAUGCAAAGAAAAGUACCGAGUGUAUACCAUACGUUGGACGUUACGAGGAUCGUAAAAUUUACUACAUUAAGAAUUUAAGUCCUGGUCUAUACGGUCUACGAAUACGUUCUACUUCAUUAGCCGGCAGUGGUAAUUUUUCCGAGAUGGUUCGUUUUAACAUCGAAUUCAUUGAUGAUAAUAGAGUACUAGUGAUACCCUUGGCAAUCUUUGGAUUUUUCAGCGUGGUUGCUAUAAUUGGAUAUUGUUACUUGAGAUAUCGUCGAAAGAAGAAUACUCAAGCAAGAUUGAUAGCCUGUGUAAAUCCUGAUUACAUAGAAACCAAAUAUAUCCUUGACAGUUGGGAGGUACCUAGAGAAAGCGUCAAGAUCUUGGAAGAACUUGGUAAUGGUAAUUUCGGUAUGGUAUGCCGUGGUCUUUUGGGAAACGAGGAGGUAGCGAUCAAGACGAUCUCUGCGGCAUGCAGCGAGCGUGAGAAGAACGAGUUCUUAAAUGAGGCCUCGGUUAUGAAGAAUUUCUCUACCUUUCACGUAAUCAAAUUAUUAGGAGUCGUUAGCUUAGGUUCUCCGCCGUACGUCAUAAUGGAACUCAUGGAAAACGGAGAUUUGAAGACUUAUUUGCGACGCAUACGAGACACCGAUUUAAUUCCAGAUACCUCGAGGAUAAUAAGAAUGGCGGCUGAGAUUGCGGACGGCAUGUCUUUUUUGGAAUCGAAGAAGUUCGUUCAUCGUGACUUGGCUGCUAGAAAUUGUAUGAUCUCGAAGGAUUUGGUUUGUAAGAUUGGAGAUUUUGGAAUGGCCAGAGACGUCUACGAGACCGAUUAUUAUAAAAUCGGAAAGAAGGGCCUUUUGCCAAUUAGAUGGAUGGCACCUGAGAAUCUUUCGGAUGGCGUUUUCACAUCCGACUCGGACGUUUGGUCAUUCGGUGUUGUACUCUACGAGAUACUUUCUCUCGCUGAGAUACCCUAUCAAGGAUUUUCUAACGAUGAAGUAUUAAAUUACGUGCUUCACAAAGGUGUUCUUAGUGUACCGAAAAACUGUCCUAUUAAUAUACAAAAAAUAAUGGAAAAGUGUUUCAAAUGGCGACCGAGCGAUCGUCCAACGUUCAUGGAAAUCGUAGGGGAAUUGGAACCAUUUUUGGCCCAAGACUUUUGUGAAAAAUCCUUUUAUCACUCAAGCGAGGGUAUACAUAUGCGUAAUCUUGGAAUAAAGAAGGCCUUUCAUCAAGCUGCACCGAUACGUUUUCAUUGGGGUAACGAGACUGCUAGAUGGGUUCGAGAAUUUGAGGACAAUGUGACGCUUCUUGAUCAGACUAGGGCUAGCACCAGUCGUGGCCGAAUAUUCAGGAGCGGUUUUCAACAGGUCGGUAAUGUUCCACCUUUAGAGGAAGUUCCUCUAAAUCGAUAAAGUUUUUCUCUCGUUUUUCAAAGUCGCGUCUUAUAUAUAUAAUAAUAAUAAUAAUAAUGUCUUAUUGUUGCCGUGUUUGGUCUCGCGCGUGCAUGAAUAUGAAUACGAAAGAACAACAACAACAAACAAAAGAAAAAAAGCGAAGAAGAAAAAUGGUUAAUGAUUAUGUACAAACAUACACUCAGGGCAAUAUAAUGGGACGAAUAAUUGGAAGAGGAAAAGAAAGAUUAUUUACGUUCUCUUCCUCGGCGGGACCAGACGCGAAUCCUCUUCUAAUAUCGUCGCGAAACGAAGAAAGACUUAAAUAGGACUAUUAGUUUAGAUAACAUACCUACAAGUUAAUAACGCAUAUCGCCUAUUCUUUCUUCUAUGGAAGUCACGGUUCAUGGACCUACAAAUAUAUGUAUUUAGGAUAAAUCCACUUUUUUUAAUGUGUUUCAUUUUCUUUUUCUACUUUUUUUUUCUUUUUUUUUUUUUUUGUUUCUUAAGCGCAACCAAAUGUUCGACAAGCCUUUUUUUAAUCAUUCAUUCCUAGAAAGAAAGAAAGAUUAGUUUUAGCGAGUCUCUAGAACUUGAUGAAAGAGUAUUUUAGUCGAAGUAUCAUUGUCUUACCACAGAGUUCCUUCUCGCAUACAUACCCUUAUAUACACGGGCAUGCAUUAAUUCAUAGUUUUCACGCAGAUUCUAUAUAUAAAUAUAUAUUAUUAUUACAUAAUUACAUACAUACCCACAUUAAAACUUAAUGCACUAACAAUAAGCAAUCGAUGCAAAUCAAUAGAUCAUUUAGUCUGAAUUAGAAAAAAGAAAAAAAAAGACGAUUUUCCAUUAACAAGUAUAUAAACAUACAUAUUCAUGGUGACCCAUAAGUAAGUUGACAAAAAUGCAUUAUGUUAUUAUU